AGGGAACGUAGGGCAGAAUUUACGUAUAAAUAAAUGGACAAUUUUUAUGAUGUAGGCCGAAAAUGAGCUUCCCCUCUUUGAAAGUCCAGCAGCCGCCACUGACCCAGCAGUAGUGUGGACGCGAGGCGUUAACGUAACAAAAGGUAUUCGUUUUGAAACCAGAUUGUAGCAGUGUAGAUGUAGCCUAAAAGACU
This is a long non-coding RNA of Sander lucioperca (pikeperch), 194 nucleotides long. RefSeq lists it as uncharacterized. The transcript is spliced from 2 exons. NCBI's taxonomy places the organism in Eukaryota, Metazoa, Chordata, Actinopteri, Perciformes, Percidae. The record is from RefSeq and is a predicted model, not a curated record.